RNAcentral lists this non-coding RNA (183 nucleotides) under Sporomusa sphaeroides. RNAcentral also lists the same sequence under 1 other name. Lineage: Bacteria; Bacillati; Bacillota; Negativicutes; Selenomonadales; Sporomusaceae. The record is from RNAcentral.
UUCAUAUAUACUGCUGCAGGUGCCCUACGGGGCUUAAUAGGGAAGACCGGUGUAAAACCGGCGCGGUCCCGCCACUGUAACGGGGAGCAAACCCAAGAUUAUACCACUGGAAUAUAUAUUCUGGGAAGGUUUGGGUGAGUAAGGAUCCGGAGCCAGGAGAACUGCCUGUUUGACAAUCACCGC